Molecule: ribosomal RNA, 850 nt
Filed under: Streptomyces sp. 734G13
Lineage: Bacteria; Bacillati; Actinomycetota; Actinomycetes; Kitasatosporales; Streptomycetaceae
Description: bacterial SSU rRNA
Rfam family: Bacterial small subunit ribosomal RNA
Source: RNAcentral
UGCAAGUCGAACGAUGAAGCCUUUCGGGGUGGAUUAGUGGCGAACGGGUGAGUAACACGUGGGCAAUCUGCCCUUCACUCUGGGACAAGCCCUGGAAACGGGGUCUAAUACCGGAUAACACUCUCUCCUGCAUGGGGGAGGGUUGAAAGCUCCGGCGGUGAAGGAUGAGCCCGCGGCCUAUCAGCUUGUUGGUGGGGUGAUGGCCUACCAAGGCGACGACGGGUAGCCGGCCUGAGAGGGCGACCGGCCACACUGGGACUGAGACACGGCCCAGACUCCUACGGGAGGCAGCAGUGGGGAAUAUUGCACAAUGGGCGAAAGCCUGAUGCAGCGACGCCGCGUGAGGGAUGACGGCCUUCGGGUUGUAAACCUCUUUCAGCAGGGAAGAAGCGAGAGUGACGGUACCUGCAGAAGAAGCGCCGGCUAACUACGUGCCAGCAGCCGCGGUAAUACGUAGGGCGCAAGCGUUGUCCGGAAUUAUUGGGCGUAAAGAGCUCGUAGGCGGCUUGUCGCGUCGGAUGUGAAAGCCCGGGGCUUAACCCCGGGUCUGCAUUCGAUACGGGCAGGCUAGAGUGUGGUAGGGGAGAUCGGAAUUCCUGGUGUAGCGGUGAAAUGCGCAGAUAUCAGGAGGAACACCGGUGGCGAAGGCGGAUCUCUGGGCCAUUACUGACGCUGAGGAGCGAAAGCGUGGGGAGCGAACAGGAUUAGAUACCCUGGUAGUCCACGCCGUAAACGUUGGGAACUAGGUGUUGGCGACAUUCCACGUCGUCGGUGCCGCAGCUAACGCAUUAAGUUCCCCGCCUGGGGAGUACGGCCGCAAGGCUAAAACUCAAAGGAAUUGACGGGGGCC